CCUACGGGAGGCAGCAGUGAGGAAUAUUGGUCAAUGGGCGGAAGCCUGAACCAGCCAAGUCGCGUGAGGGAAUAAGGCCCUACGGGUCGUAAACCUCUUUUGUCAGGGAGCAACGCCGGCUACGUGUAGCCGGACUGAGAGUACCUGAAGAAAAAGCAUCGGCUAACUCCGUGCCAGCCGCCGCGGUCAUACGGAGGAUGCGAGCGUUAUCCGGAUUUAUUGGGUUUAAAGGGUGCGUAGGCGGAAUGCCAAGUCAGCGGUAAAAUCGCGGGGCUCAACCUCGCUCCGCCGUUGAAACUGGCGUUCUUGAGUGGGCGAGAAGUAUGCGGAAUGCGUGGUGUAGCGGUGAAAUGCAUAGAUAUCACGCAGAACUCCGAUUGCGAAGGCAGCAUACCGGCGCCCAACUGACGCUGAAGCACGAAAGCGUGGGUAUCGAACAGGAUUAGAUACCCGUGUAGUC
Molecule: ribosomal RNA, 460 nt
Filed under: uncultured bacterium
Lineage: Bacteria
Description: partial 16S ribosomal RNA
Rfam family: Bacterial small subunit ribosomal RNA
Source: RNAcentral